UAAGCUUCAGUAGCUCGUCAAAGGGAAGUGAAAGAGUGACGGUGAAACUAACUGUCUGUUUGUUUGAGGAACAGAAACCUACUGAUGGACAAGGCCUUCAUUUACAGCUAAGAUGUAAAACUGCAUCAUUAUUGUCGUAUCAGUCUUGUGAUUGAUAGUUCCCUUGCCCUAACUUCCCACCUGUCUCCAAGGUGAUGUUCUUCCCACUCUGACAGUCCUGCCCCCCUCAAGUGUGGAGCUGCAGCAGGGGAAGGCCACUCAUGUGCCUGGCCAUCAAGGGCUCCCCCUCAGACUGGAAGCUGAGCUGGAAGUUGGAAGUCAGCAGCAGUAACACCUGGGAGGUGACCGGGAACCCCGGCAUCCUGGAGAAGGACGGCCACUACAGCUGGAGCAGCACCCUGACCCUCCCUGUUGACCAGUGGAAGAAGGUGGGCUCUGUGACCUGUAAGGCCACCCAGAGAUCCCAGUCUCCGCUCUGUGAGGAGAUAUCAGUGUCUUGAAGGAGUUCCCCACUCUGACUCCACAUCUUCUUACUGUUCCAGCAAUACGAGCACACUUGUCUAAUGCUGGGCUGGACCCUGUAUGGGAAAUCUUCCUCCACCUGGCUCUUGUACCAUUAUGGAACAAACAACAAUGAGAGAUCUGUUUGGCUUUCACUAGGCAAGUCAGUUAAGAACAAAUUCUUAUUUUCAAUGACAGCCUAGGAACAGUGGGUUAUCUGCCUUGUUCAGGGGCA
Non-coding RNA from Oncorhynchus gorbuscha (pink salmon), 736 nucleotides. Lineage: Eukaryota; Metazoa; Chordata; Actinopteri; Salmoniformes; Salmonidae. The record is from the annotation of a RefSeq genome assembly.